CCUACGGGAGGCUGCAGCUAAGAAUCUUCCGCAAUGGGCGCAAGCCUGACGGAGCGACGCCGCGUGAAUGAAGAAGGCCGAAAGGUUGUAAAAUUCUUUUAAGUUUGAAGAAUAACCAGUAUAGGGAAUGAUACUGAGAUGACGGUAAAACUUGAAUAAGCCCCGGCUAAUUACGUGCCAGCAGCCGCGGUAACACGUAAGGGGCGAGCGUUGUUCGGAAUUAUUGGGCGUAAAGGGUAUGCAGGCGGUUAGAUAAGCCCGGUGUGAAAUGCUCAAGCUUAACUUGAGAACUGCACUAGGUACUGUCUAACUUGAAUCACGAAGGGGAAACUGGAAUUCCAGGUGUAGGGGUGGAAUCUGUAGAUAUCUGGAAGAAUACCGGUGGCGAAGGCGGGUUUCUGGUCGAUGAUUGACGCUGAGAUACGAAAGUGUGGGGAGCA
Molecule: ribosomal RNA, 440 nt
Filed under: uncultured bacterium
Lineage: Bacteria
Description: bacterial SSU rRNA
Rfam family: Bacterial small subunit ribosomal RNA
Source: RNAcentral